This 35337-nucleotide long non-coding RNA is filed under the name Coffea arabica (coffee). Its description in RNAcentral is "long non-coding RNA (CARA_LNC002532)". Lineage: Eukaryota; Viridiplantae; Streptophyta; Magnoliopsida; Gentianales; Rubiaceae. The record is from RNAcentral.
AAGACAGGAGGAAUGGUAAUAUACAAUAGAGUUUGAAGGGAUCCAUUGUGGUGUGAUUUGUAGUAGUUGUAGGCAAAGGUUGUUGGGAAUUUGAGAGCAAGUUAUGGGAGGAAGGGGUUGAUGGAUGAGAACACAGUGACAAUAAGUGAAACAGAAUCAUCGUCAUUGGCUGAGACUUGUGAGCAGGAGAGCUAGGGUUUCUUCUUUUUUUUUUUAAUCUCAUUUCAUUAUAAUGUGUAUUUUCUAUUAAGCGAAGGUCAUUAUAGUCAUCUUAUUGUGACAAGGGAGGUCAGCGUAAUUUGUAAAACCCGGGGGGAGUGAAAUUGUCAUAAACCUCAAGGGAGGUUUGUGAAACUAUCCCAUAUAAAAGUAGUACUUAGGUAACAGACGUCUGUGAUCUAAGAGUCACAGACACCAAUCUUUUCAGUUGUUCAUAAUUUCAAAAAGAAACCCAAUAGUUUUGUUAAUAAAAAAUAGACCAGUCCACCCUACCUCUCAUGAGCAAUGUCUCCAGGACUUGUGUCAUUCUUCCUCUUCCUCACACAAAUCACCUAUUUUUCACCCUUCUUGUCGCCUGCCACCUUUUCUCCUCCCACUCGUUCCCACUUUCGUACCCUCUUCCAAGUCCAAAUCCAAAUCCCAUCUCAUCAAUCUGCAAACCCCAAAUGGCCAUCUCUAUUUUAUCUUCUAUUCAUUACUCGCAACCUCUCCUCCCUUUUAAUACCUUCCAAUUUUCCAUGCUGAUCUUGAUGUUAACCCCGUGAUUCAUGAUCAACUGGCUGGCUGUAUAUUACAUGCACAUGCUUUGAAAAAAAGAGUGAUAUUGGGAUGAAGGUAUUUGUUUGAUUGAAAAGUUUACUGGAUACGUGAGAUUUGUGGAGUUCACUUGUUAAUUUUGAUUUCACAAGUAGUCCAUAAAAUCAUGGAAUUAAUUAGCCAUUGGACACAAUUGUGGCAGAAAUUGUGACAGUAUUGGAGUAAUGGAGAAGGUAAGAGGAAGGGUGUUAGAGAGAUCAGAACUAAGGAGGAAACCUUUUCUGUUGCACAUUGAACUAGACAAGCUGGUAGCCCAUUGGUGCUCCUUGCCAACUAAUCAUCCGUACCUCACAAUGAAGUAGCGGACUGUAAUUUAACCUUUCUCCGUAAACAUAUGGUAUCCAUGAUGAAAGAUAUGGCAAAUUAGCGAUAGGUAACCAUAAAUUCGUAGCUAUCUUGGUCUGACUUCAAUGGACACAUAUGCAGAUGGGAUGACAAAGAACUGCCACUUUUGGUGAUUUGAUUCCCAUAACUAACCUAACUCUAGAAGAUAAAGGAAAUGAACCAUAAAAAUUAAGUCUAUCUUCUACUUGCAAUCACUUUUAUUUUUCGAAGGCCAAAGAAGCUAUUGCAGAAAGAGACUAAAAUAUUCAAGAAAUUCCCAAUUACUUACAAAAGCAUCAAAACGCGAUCUACUACACUCCUUACACAUCAAAAGGUACAAGUACAGCUGCAGCAGCACAUUAAACCAGAAAACAUAUGGAAAGAUAUUGCAUUUCCAACAUCCGUAAAAACAAAAUGCACCUGGUUUUUAACAAAAUGACAAGUUCUAAGAAGCACUAAUAAGGGAUCUUCUCAUCUAUCUGUGCUUGAUAAAGCCCUCAAUUCAAAUUGUCCCAAGGAAGCAACCCAAAAGUAGCAACAACACUUGCUUCUACUUUAAGAAUAUGACAUGCACUUAAAAGUUCUUAAUUGGUGCACAAGUUUGUGGCCUCAUAAGGAGGUUUUGGAAGUUCUAAAUAUAAUUAUCUUUAUCAUUGAGAUGUAAGUAGACUAAUUUGUCUAUCAGAACAGUAUUCUCAUUACUAACUACUAUGAUACAGCAUAAGUAUCAACCCUGAUCUCGACGCCUACGAGGUUUAGGAAGCAUUAAAAACAAUCAUUCUAAUGAUCCUGAAAUGUAAAUCGACAAUCUUUGUACCAAAAACAUUAAUCUCCGCUAAAUCCGAGGAUAAAACCAUAUUUAUAGUGCACAAAGACAUUCUCUUUGACUUCAAUCUAGGCGCCAUUAGGCAGGUAGAAAACAUUUUUUCGACAUUUUUCCCCAAAAAACUAUCUUCAGCAUUUUAAAUUGAAGCAUAAAAUACAUAUAACAAGUGAUAAAUUUUCUUGACAUUCAUAACAAAUAGCUAGCAAAUCAAACCCAAAAAAGAAUAAAAAACAAAAAACCAAACUUUCCCAUGGUAAGCACUUCCAAAAAAAAGAAAAGAAGAUAGAAACAUAAUACCAUUUUAAGCUAAAACCAAAGGAUUCACCCGCAAUUUUGUCUAACAAACCUGAAUUUCCUCAAAGUUUUCUCUAAAGAUUAAUUAAAUAUCAAUUAAGCAAAGAUGAGGAAUGAAGCACUACGAAAAGGGAAAGAGAGAAGAUAGAAAUGAGAAAAGGGAAGUGAAAACUAACCAUGGCUGGGGAGGAUUCAAAAUCAGAGGAAAUAACAAUGGCUGAUUAUUCCAACAGAAAAGAAAGUUUGCGAUCUGAUUGGCUCAAAAGGAAUUAGGAUUUGGAGGGAAAAAUUAGGGUUUUUGUCGAAGCGGAUGAAUAGCGAGGAGGAGGAGGAGCUUUGGGGGUAGGACGGCCAGUUACGUUUGCCAGCAAAUACUUCGAGCUUGUUUGGAGCUGCUUUAAAAAUGCCGGAUUAUGUUGCAUUUGCCUCCCCUAUUCUUUACUUAAAUUAAAAUUGGAGACCCUCUAAUUUGCAAAAUUAUCUUUACACGGCUUGUUGAGAGUGGCAUUAAUUGGGUUUUAUGAGUCGGGUUUUAAUAAAUUCACAACGAGUCAAAAAAAAAAGGUAAAAGAUUCAAGUUUUCGAAUUUACAUGAUGAGGGUCAUACUGAACUCAUAAAUGUAUUGGGACUUCGACUUAUUUUAGACUCGGCUUAUCAAUACUAAAUAUUAUAUUAUUAUUAUUUUUAUUAUAAAUUUAUAUCCAAAACAUAAACUACAUAUAUUAUCACUAGUGUAGACACCAAAAUUUUACCAUUUUAUUUAUUUAUUUUUAGUUAAAUUUUAUUUUAUUUUUUCAUUUCUUUUUUUUUGAGAAAAUUGGAAAAAAAAGAGAGAAAAUAAAAGAAAAGCAAAGAAAAGAAAAGUAGAAAACAAAAAUCAGAAAUCAGUUUUGUAAAAAAAAAAAAAAAUCUCUUCCACACCCGCGUGCAUGGCAAGCGCGCCAUUCUUUAUCACCAUUGUACCAACCCACAAGCAAGAAAUAGUACAAGAAAUUCCAGCUGCCAUUUUGGGUCCAAUUUUCUCUUGAAUCCCGCUCCAUUUUCCUCCUUUUCAAGUCUUCCAGUACAAGUGCCAGAUCAACUAUCAAUUUUUAUCCAAAACCCAUCAUCUAAUGGUUCAAAAUCAACCCCUAAAAGCUAACCCAUCCUCAUUGUUGCUCCCAGGGUUUGGGGGGGAGGGAUUUGUGCCAUAUAAAUGGAUAAAGAUGCAGCCAUUAAAAGAGGAGAAAAAGAGGAAAGACGGCGGAGCAAGAAAAAAACAAAAAGAAAAACAGCAAAAAGAGAGAUAAUGAAGAGAGGAAGAACAAGAGAAAAUUAUGUAAAAAUUUCGUGACCAGGCUGAUUCACUAGCCUAGUUCUGUCUCGAAUUCCGGCGUAGAUUUUAGGUUUUUGAGAGGACUCUUGCUUUUCUGCACUUUCCUAUGGUACAAUAGAAUAACUUUCAUUUAGAAGUCACUUUGAAAAAACGCCUCCAAGCUGGUCAAAUUGAAGCUCAAAAUAGCUGAUUCAUCAACGCUGCGGUUUCUGCGACACAAUUUUGCUAGGCUUCAUUUCACAAAUCAACACGCAUUUUUGGGAGUAUCUCACGUCCAUUCCACUGUGCAAGUACUCUCAGGUAACCAUGACAAGUGCCAGAUCAACUAUCAAUUUUUAUCUGAAACCCAUCAUCUAAUGGUUCAAAAUCAACCCCUAAAAGCUAACCCAUUCUCAUGGUUGCUCCCAGGGUUUGGGGGGGAGGGAUUUGUGCCAUAUAAAUGGAUGAAAAUGCAGCCAUUAAAAGAGGAGAAAAAGAGGAAAGGCAGCGGAGCAAGAAAAAACAGAAAGAAAAACAGCAAAAAGAGAGAAAAUGAAGAGAGGAAGAGCAAGAGAAAAUUCUGCAAAAAUUUCGUGACUAGACUGGCUCACUAGCCUAGUUCUGUCUCGAAUUCCGGCAUAGAUUUUAGGUUUUUGAGAGGACUCUUGAUUUUCUGCACUUUCCUAUGGUACAGUAGAAUAACUUUCAUUUAGAAAUCACUUUGAAAAAAAAAAAUGCCUCCAAGCCAGUCAAAUUGAAGCUCAAAGUAGCCGAUUCAUCAACGCUGCGGUUUCUGCGACAAAAUUUUACUGGGUUUCAUUUCACAAAUCAGCACGCAUUUUUUGGAGUAUCUCACGUCCAUUCCACCAUGCAAGCACUCUCAGGUAACCAUGACUCAUCUCCUUGUUGAUUUAACACGUUUUUCACAAAGAUUUAAAUCCAUUGGACAUGAACUCUUGUACUUUUGCUGCUGGUGCCAUUUUCUCGUUUCAUUGGUUUUGCCAUGCUUGUUUCCUGACGAUUUAUGGUUCGAUAAUGGCCACUUCUCAUCAGUCCACUUCUUCCACCGAAGGGGUUCAAUUGCUCCCUGUGGAACUGGGAUCAUCCGAAGCAUCCUCUGACUCCGUCAGGGUUCCCUUCAGCUUCUUCAUUGCCCUGAACAGCCAGUCCAAUUCCUGGAUAAAUCGAAGGCUCGCUAGGUGAAGGGCGAAAUACAUCCCGAGGAGCACUACGUGCUCCAUGCCACAGUCCCUCACCACCGCGAAGAAUUCUGUCAUGUCCCUCAUGUUUGCCAUUUCUUCUGAUUUUUCAAAAAGCACCGUAUCGAGCAAUCUCCUCAAAUAGGGCGUGUCCCGCAAGAAAUGCUCAAAGUCCUCUAUCACCGCGAUAUUUAUCGUUUUCUCCUUCUGCCACGUGUCGCGCAUCAAAAUUUGAAUGGGAUACAAUCCUGCCCACGUCGAGAUUGCCAGCACGUGUUCCCGGUUUGGCGGUUGCGAUACGCGGCACGUGGCAGAAGGAGAAGACGAUAAAUAUCACGGUAAUGGAAGACUUUGAGCAUUCCUUGCUGGACACGCCCUGUUCGAGGAGAUUGCUCGAUACGAUGCAUUUUAAAGAUCAGGAGAAAUGGCAAACAUGAGGGACAUGGCAGGAUUCUUCGCGGUGAUGAGGGACUGCGGCAUGGAACACAUAGUGCUUCUCGAGAUAUACUUUGCCCUUCGCCCAAGGAGCUUUCGAUUCAUCCGAAAAUUGGACCGGCUGUUCAAAGCAGUGGAGAAGUUGAAGGAAACCCUGACGAAGUCAGGAGAUGCUGCGGAUGAUCCCAGUUCCACCGGGAGCAAUUGAACAUCUUCGGUGGAAGAAGUGGACUGAUGAGGAGGAAUCGAACCCUCGGACUCAUAAACCCCUUUGAUCGAGGAGAUGGACCCCACAUACACAGCGAUAUACAUAGAAAUGUAAUGUAGCAUACGGCAUAGUAUUUGAGUAUUUGUACGUAGAUAGGGAUUUAAUGCAGAUUUCAUCCUUAAAUAAAAUGCGUACAAAUUUAAAAUCUCCUUUCCUACAGUUAAUCCAGAUACGUGGCAGGGACUUACACGCUAAUUUUAGAUUAAUCGGACUUAUGACGCCGUAAUUACAUAAUUGGCUCGUUAUAAGAGUCCUGACCCUAUCAUUAAUCCUAUUGGGAUCCACGUCCUUCAAGGACUAGGGAGUCCUGAUCAGGAGCCGUGCCCACAUCUUGUCGAGACGGAGCCUCUUACGGAGAUUGUAGUUUGCCCGAAUUGACACCGACCAAGUGAUCGGACUGGCCUGGAACGUGGUGAAGUAGAGGGGAUCCUUCUGGAACUCCCAAGAGUAACUUUCUUGUUGCAUUAAUGCUGAGAACGUGGUGUCUCUUAUUGCAUCCAUUGCUGUGCAGGAUGCAGCAUCCACACGCGAACUUAAUUCUUGUUGUUCACCUUUUCUUUUUCUUGGACGGGUGGUGCUUGAUCUUAAUAUCUGGGGGCAAAUAAGUGCUAUUCGAAGAAGGAGAAUGUCGCAUUCUGCUUAAUGGGGUUGAAUCAUUGGGGUGAGAUGGAGUGCAUUUAAAUAGCAAUUGGAAUGAGGAUUGAUGAAUACGCUUCUGAGAGUUAUAUAUUUUCUUCAUUGAUGAUCACUAUGGUUGAGCCUACUGUUAUAUUUAUUGGGUCUGGUGCGAGAUCCAAUGACAUUUUAAAUGGCCCAUUGGAUCAAUAAGUUAUCAACAUUUUCGAUUAAAUUGACUUGGGCCUGGUGGAAGACUCAUGAGAAAUUAAUUGGCCCAGUUGUUCUCUAAUUGACCUAUUAAAUCAAACAUUUGAUAAUACAUUCGGAGAUUAUUUACUGGAUCUGGUGCAUUACCCAGUGACAAAUUAAAUGGCCCAGUAGAUCAAUAAAUUGAUAACAUUUUCGAUUAAAAUGACUUGGGCCUGGUAUGAGACCCAAUUAACACUUGAUCGAGAAUACGUUGGGUCUCAGUAUAAGUAGCCCACACAUUGAUAACCCUAAUUCUAUUCACUUAUCCUCCCCGGCAAGUGUAGCGGCACACAAGUUCUUUAAUUUGUCAAAUGAGAAGCUUCUCGGACCUUAAGGUCCGAAGGAUCUAGAAUUGAUACGAUUGUCCUCUGAUGAGUCAUUCUCUGAUGGAACAUUCAUUCUAUCAGAUAAAAUAUCGAUUGUGAUCGAUACUCCAUUAGAUAGAAUAUGGAGAAUGUGGAACACCUUCGAAAAAUAAUUCUUGCAUCGUAUGUAUAAAUUCACUCGAAAUCUGGAAGAUCUUGGUAUUUUCAUUGAAUAUUGAUCGUAUUCUUAGUUUUGAUGAAGAUGAGAUGAUUGGGAAGUAAGUCUUUUGUGUUUCUGGUGAGAAACAGUGAAUUGAAUCGAAAGAAAGAUGAUGAUACAUUGUUACCAGCACUACCCAAAUGACGUCACCCAACCCAAUAGAAUGACGUCACCCAACCUAUUCUAGAGUAUCUGUUGCAUUGGGUAGACUGGAUUGAGUGAGCCCCCUUAAUGAUCAGUUUCCGAGCGUCUUAUAAUAUUAUUAAAGACGCUCGGGGCGGCACGUGGACGGUGGAUAGGGUGUCCACGUGUUGUCCAUUCGAAGGAUAGACAGUUCAGAUUUGAUCUCAUGAGAAGAGAGAAAGGGCAACCCAGGACCUGGGUUGCAUGGCCCGCAAUGCGGGCUCUUCCUGUCUUGCCACGUGGUCGAAGGCCACUGGCCGUUCGGAAGAGCACGGCCCUACUAGGAUGAACAGUGCUAUUGGAUUGAGUAGAGAACAGUUCCUGAUGGCACUGUUGGAAUUCGAAUUCGAAAUUGAAAUUUUGAAUAAUCUUGCCCGCAUCGAAAUUUGAAUGUGACACAAUCACGCCUACGUCGGGAUUGCCGACACAUGUCCUCGAUUUGGUGGUCGUUAUGCGCGACACGUGGCAGAAGGAGAGGACGAAAAAUAUCGCGGUGAUGGAAGACUUUGAGAUUCCUUGUUGGACACGUCCUGUUCGAGGAGAUUGCUCGAUACGGUGCGUUUUGAAAACUAGAAGAAAUGGCAAAUAUGAGGGACAUGGCAGGAUUCUUCGCGGUGGUGAGGGAUUGCAGCAUGGAGCAUGCACUGCUCCUCGGAAUGUGCUUCGCCUUUCGCCUAGGGAGCCUUCGAUUCAUCCAAAAAUUGGACCAGCUGUUCAGGGCAAUGAAGGAGCUAAAGGGAACCCUGACAGAGUCAGGAGAUGCUGCGGAUGAUCCUAGCUCCACCGGGAGCAAUUGAACCCCUUCAGUGGAAGAAGUGGACUGAUGUGAAGGAAUCGAUCUCGGACUCGUGAACCCCUUCGAUCGAGGAGAUGGACCCCACAGACACAGUGAUAUACGUAGAAAUGUAAUGUAGUAUACAGCAUAGUAUUUGAGUAUUUAAACGUAGAUAGAGAUUUAAUGCAGCAGUGCCACAUGUAAUAAAUACGAACUAUAGAAAUAACAAUACUUCAUUUCAUUUCAUCCUUAAAUAAGAUGUGUACAAAUUCGAAAUCUACUUUUCCGCAGUUAAUCCAGACCCGUGGUAGGGACCUACAGGCUAAUUCUAGAUUAAUCGGACUUAUGACACCGUAAUUACAUAAUUGGUUGGUUAUAAGAGCCCGGACCCUAUCAUUAAUCCUAAUGGGAUCCACGUCCUUCAAGGACUAAGGAGUCUUGAUCAGGAGUCGUACCCACAUCUUGUCGAGACGGAGCCUCUUGCGGAGGUUGUAGUUUGCCCGAAUUGACACCGACCAAGUAGUCGGACUGGCAUGGAACGUGGUGUCCCUUAUUGUAUCUAUUACGUUGGAGGAAUAGAUAGUCACAUGCGAACUUAAUUCUUGUUGUUUGCCUCUUCUUCUUGGAUAGGUGGUGCCCGAUCUUGAUUUGUGAGUACGAAUAGGAGCUGUUUGAGGAAGUAGAAUGCUGCAUUCUGCUUAGUCCAGUUGAGAUGAUCCAAACGAUCUGGUGCACUUAAAUAAUCGUGAUAUAAAGAAUUAGGACCAGGAUUGCAAAGUACAAUAGUUGGAAUUCCUCAUUUUAUUUUCCUUGAUUUGGCAUGUUUGCAAUUGAAUGACCAAUCUCGUUGUGCCCCGAGAAAUUUUUUACAGUGUUUGAGAAACUGAGGGUUAACGUCAUCUAUGAUGUUAUAUCACGCAUUGUCACAGUGAUGGGCCAAAUCAAUAUGGCCUACAUAGUAAUUAUGUGCCUGAGGAUUGAGAUUUCUAACUCAACAUGAUUUACCAAUUCGACUUGGAUCUUCUAUUAUUAUGGACAUAGGUCUGUGUGAUCUGUUAGUAUGCCCAAUUACAAUUUGGGUGGCCCAAUUUAUCAAGAACAUAGGAACUUAUUGGGUCUGAGGGAAUAGAGCCACGUAUGGUUCUGGUGGCUUCUGGAAUAUUCUGUCGAGAUUAUUCGAUAAUUUAUCAUAGUGAAUGAUGAAUAAUUGAGGAUCGCCCUUCUUGAUGACAUCAAGGGCCAUUCCCUUAUCAUCCUUGACAAGCGCAGCGGCAUAUACCUCCUCCGUUUUGUCAGAUGAGAAUCUGCUCUUGCCAUCUGGUCGAAAAUUGCCCCAUUCGACAAAAUCUUUCUAUUUUGAUAUAUAAUCCCUAACUGCGGAUGAAUUCCUUGCGCCUUGAACAUUGGGAUAGAACAUUGAAUUUGAAUUGGGUGAUUUGAUAUCGAAUAAUCUUGCAGAUUCAGUGCGAAAUUUACCUGUGAAUUAAAUCAGCUAAUGUAGAUGAGGAAAUCCAUCUUGAUGGAUUUCAUGAGCAACUAGUAUGUAAAUGGGAGAAAUAGGGAAUUGGAUGUUCCUAAUUGCAUCUAAUGCUUGUUCUUUGGUAAAAACACACCGGGGAUAAGUGAAGAAGUUAUUCUUUGCAUUGAUGAAGAAGGAAGAAAGUGAUCUGGACAUAUUGAAUCUCACUAUAAUCUGAUUACGUCACCCACCCCAAUACAAACUGUCCCUAGUAUUGGAUAGAAUAAGUUGGCUUAUAAAGCCCUUCCCAAGCGUCUUACAAUACUACUAAAGACGCUCGGGGCGACACGUAGACAGUGAUGGAUAGAGUGUCCACAUGUUCUCCAUCUGAAGAAUGGACGGUCCGGAUUUGAUCUCAGGAGAAGGGAGAAUUGGCAAUCCAAGACCUGGGUUGUAUGGCCCGCAGUGCAGUGUUGGAACAUAGGUCGCCGUACUCCUUCGGCCAUGUGGCCGCUCUGAAGAGCGCGGCCCCACUAGAAUGAACGGUGGUGCAAUUGGGUUGAGUAGAGAAUAGUGUCCGGUGGCACUGUUAAAAUUCGAAUUUAAAAUUAGAAUUCGAAAUUAAAAUUUCGAAUAAUCUCACCCACGUCAAAAUUUGAAUGGGAUACAAUCCCACCCACGUCGGGAUUGCCAACACGUGUCUCCAAUUUGGUAGUCGCGAUACGCAGCACGUGGUUGAAAGAGAGGACGAUAAAUAUCGUGGUCAUGGAAGACUUUGAACAUUCCGUGCUGGAUACGUCCCGUUCGAGGUGAUUGCUCGAUACGGUGCGUUUUGAAAACUAGAAGAACUGGCAAACAUGAGGGACAUGGCAGGAUUCUUCGCGAUAGUGAAGAACUGUGGGAUGGAGCAUGUAGUGCUCCUUGGAAUGUACUUCGCCUUUCGCCUAGGGAGUCUUCUAUUCAUCCUGGAAUUGUAUCGGCUGUUCAGGGAAGUGAAGGAGUUGAAGGGAACCCUGACGAAGUCAGAGGAUGCUGCGGAUGAUCCAAGCUCCACCGGGAGCAAUUGAACCCCUUCGGUGGAAGAUGUGGACUGAUGAGGAGGAAUCGAACCCUCGGACUCAUGAACCCCUUCGAUCGAGGAGGUGGACCCCUCAUGCACAGUGAUAUACGUAGAAAUGUAAUGUAAUGUAGUGGACCCCUCAGGGCAUAGUAUUUGAGUAUUUGUACGUAGAUAGGGAUUUAAUGCAGCAGUGUCACGUGUAAUAAAUACGCAUUGUGAAAAUACUAAGACUUCAAUUCAUUUCAUCCUUAAACAAGAUGCAUACAAAUUCGAAAUCCGCUUCCCUGCAGUUAAUCCAGACACGUGGCAGGGACCCACACGCUAAUUCUAGAUUAAUCGGACUUAUGACGCCAUAAUUACAUAAUUGACUCGUUAUAAGAGAUCCGACCCCAUCAUUAAUCCUAAUGGGAUCCACGUCUUUUAAGGAUCAGGGUGUUCGGAUUAGGAGCCGUGCCCACAUCUUGUCGAGACGGAACCUCUUGAGAAGGUUGUAAUUUGGCCGAAUUGACACCGAUCAAGUGGUUGGACUAGCCUGGAACGUGGUGUCCCUUUUUGUAUCUAUUACACUGGCGGAAUAGACGGCCACACACGAACUUAAUUCAUGUUAUUAGCCUCUUCUUUUUGGACAGGUGGUGCCUGAUCUUAAUUUGUGAGUGCGAAUAGGGGCUGUUCGAGAAAGUAGAAUGCUGCGUUCUGCUUAAUCCAGUUGAGGAGAUCCACACAAUCUGGUGCACUUAAGUAGUCGUGAUACGAAGAAUUGGGACCAGAAUUGCAGAGCACAAUAGUUGGAAUUUCCCCUUUUAUUUUCUUUGGUUUGACAUAUUUGCAAUUGGAUGACCAAUCUCAUUGUGCCCCUAAGAAUUCUUUCCAGUGUUUGAGAAAUUGAGGGUUUACGUCAUUUAUGAUGUUAUACCAUGCAUUGUCACAGUGAUGGGUCAAAUCAAUAUGGCCUGCAUAGUAAUUGUGUGCCUGAGAAUUGAGACUUCUAAUCAGCAUAUUUUACCAAUUCGACUCGGGUCUUCUAUUAUUAUGGACAUAAGCCUGUGUGAUCUGUUAGUAGGCCCGAUUAUAUUUUGAAUGGCUCAAUUUAUCAAGAACAUAGGAACGUGUUGGGCCUGAGGGAAUAGAGUCAUGUAUGAUUCUGGUGGCUUCUGGAAUAUUAUGUCGAGAUUACUCAAUAAUUUGUCGUAGUGAAUGAUGAAUGAUCGAGGAUCGUCCUUCUUGAUGACAUCAAGGGCCAUUCCCUUAUCGUCCUUGGGCGCAGCGGCAUAUACUUCCCUCGUUUUGUCAGAUGAGAAUAUGCUCCGACCAUCCGGUCGGAAAUUGCCCCAUUCGACAAAAUCUCCGUAUUUUGAUAUGUAAUUCCUAACUGCGGAUGAAUUCCUUACGCCUUCAACAUUGAGAUGGAAUAUUGGAUUUGAAUUGGGUGAUUUGAUAUCAAAGAACCUUGCAGAUUCAGUGCAAAAUUUACCUGUGAAUUGAAUCAGACAAUGUAGAUGAGAAAAUCCAUCUUGGUGGGUUUCAUGAGCAACUCGUAUGUAAAUGGGAGAAAUAGGGAAUUGGAUGUUCCUAAUUGCAUCUUAUCGUGCUCCAUUUUUUGAAUGAAAAAUAAAUAAUUACGGGUUUUAUAAAAAAUGAAUUUUGAUUUAAUUUUGAUUGAAAAUGAGUUUUUAAUUUUUAGAAAAUAAAUAAAGAAAAUGAGCCUAGAAUAGGACUAGAAAGUGCGACGAUUUUGACCCAAAUUAAAAUUUUAAAAAGUGUUUUUUAAAAAAAAAUAGGGAGUCGCCACUUGAUUUUGAGUUAAGGUGUACCAAGUCACCUAAAAUGAAUUUUUAAAGAAAAAGUAGAAAAAACCCUUUUAAAAUGAUUCCAAAUCUUUGAAAAUCAGAUAAAAGUAUUCGGGAGUCACGUUUGAAGAAAGAGAAGGUAAAGAUAAAAUCCAAUGUACCUUUUCAACCUAACCUAGAGCUAGUUGCGUGAUUUAGUAAAAAAAUUUCUUAUUUUAAUUUGAAAAUUUAUCACAUUUAGAUGUCACUAUAUGGAUGCAAAAGCUAAACCAAGGAGGAUAUCGGGGGAUCGGAAUAUCUCUUCAAAACUUAAUUGGUGUAAAUCACAUAAAUUGUGAUGCCCAAGUUGACUAUUUGAAGAGGUCACGAAUGUGCAAAAAUAUGAGACUCGAAGGAAAGAAAAGAAAAUAAUAAUUAUACAAAUAUACAUGAUCUAAAGGAAUGCAUCAUAACGGGUGCGGGGGGCUAAAAUUCGUGUUUUUAAUUUUUCCUUUAAUAGAGGGAAUACGAGCGUGCUAAAACUAGAGAAUCAUACUCGUCCAUGUCCCAUAUUCGAGGGGUAUUUCUCCUAUCUAAUCAACCAAAUGAUCUAACCAAGUUUUAAUUUUCUUAAAUGAAAUGCAAGUCUACAUGUCAUGUUUCACACAUAGGGGUAAGGAAUAUACAUAUAAAGAAAAUAUGGGAUAAGAGAUAUACAUAUAGUGGGAAUAUGGGAUAAGGGAUACACAUUUAGGGGGAAAUGUCAUGCAAAAUGAAAAAAUCCUAAAAAGUAGAAAAUAUGCAUGAAAAUGUAGUGAUUGUCACAUAAACAUGAUCUAGCGCGUGGAUAAUUCCUAAGGGUCUAGUGUUGGACUAACGCAUGUUUAUAAGUUCUCACUAGCAUUGGACGAAUGAGAAAUUGGAAAAAAGGGUCACAACUAACGUUAGACUAGUGUGGAAUCGAAAAAAGGGGCCACAACUGGCGUUAGACUAGUGUGGUGACAUCAUACAUUUAUUAUAAUCAAAUAAAUCAUAUAGAACAUAAUAAAAGCAAAUAAACACAUAUAUCACAUAUAGCACAUAACACAUAAGCAUAAUAUCUAGAUGCAAAUAUCCUAAAAAAGCAAGUAAACACAUAAACACACAAGUAUGCAAACACAUAAACAAAUAAAAGCGAAUAAAGAGCUAAUUAUUAUAUUUUGGGGACCCUAACUACAAUCUAAAAGGGGAAAGAAUGAAAUGAAAUAAAAUAAUAACCUAACUAUUAUAAUUUGGCAUUUAAAUGCCUUUCAAAUAAUCAAAAAUUAAAUAACAAAAUAAAUAUACAAAAUUAAAACAAAUAAAGUGAAUAAAUAAAUAAAUGAAAUGAAAUGAAAAGUAUUCAAAAAAACAUGUAAUUACACACAUAAAAUCACAUAAAAGUACAUAGGAUCAAGUAAAAUCAAAAUAAAGAGUAGAGUAUACCUCCCUUGAAUUGGUGACCUAAUGAAAUGAAAUUACUCUCUUUCUACCCUCCAACACAAAAAAAUGAUUAAGGUAUCAUUUUAAUUAACAAAUAAUCAUAAGAGAUGAAAAUAAACAUGAAAUUGAACAAUUAAAACAUUUAAAUGAAAGUAAAUAACCCAUAUUCAAGAAAUUAAAACAAGCAAGGACCUAAUUGAAACAAUUACGGAAGUUUAAGGGGUCAAUUUAUUAUUAUUACAAAUAUUAAGGGUCUAAAAAUAAAAAUGAAAUUAAGGGUUUAAGAUAAAGCCUACCAAAACCAAAUGCUAAAAUUUACAAAAAAUAAAUGAAAACCCAUUUGCUAUAAUUAAACAACAAAAUUACCCAAAAUUUCACUAAAAAUUCAAACCAAAACUAUAAAUUUAUCAAAAAUUAUUAAACCUUCAAAUUUCAUCCUAAAAUUCACCAAUAAUCUGUCCAAAAAUCACAUGAAAGCAUACCAAGGAAAAAUAACAUUUUAAAGGGACAAAAUUGAUUAAAUUUUUCAAUUUUCUGGGCCAUAGUGAAAUAAGGGAAAAUUUGAGAGGUUAAAAUGCAAAUUGUUUUUUAUUUGCAUGCAAGCUACGAAGAAGAUUUCUUCUUCUGAAGCUUUCUUGCAACUUCUGAAACCUUUCAACAACCUUAUGCGGCCAAACAACAAAAAAUUUAACAAUAACAAAGAUCCAACCUCCAAGUUCCCAUUAAGUUUCAUAGGCUCAUCAUCAAAAUACCAUGUUAUGCACACAAGAGAGAGGGAAAUCAGUAACGUGGGGAGAAGCUUGCAAAUUCCAGAUUUAUUCAAAGCUUUUCCACCAGUUUUUGGGUUCAUCUUUAGCAAGCUUCGCAUGAGUCGUCUAAACAAAGAAACUAACCAUAUCACGAACCCAAUCAAGCAUAACAUAACCCAACUCCAGAUCUACACAUGAUCCUAAUCAAAGCAAGACCAUGCAUCUUGUGCGGAAAUAAAGUGAAAGAAAAAGAAGAGAUAAAAGGAUAGGAAAAUCUGUUUCAUGGCUUUCAUGUGAGCAGCAGCCUCUUCUGAUUUCAUUGAACUUUUCAUCAAACUCUAAAUGACUAAUGCCAAACUAGAAAUCAUCAGAAAAAUAGGCAUGACAAAGCCAUUAAACAAACAUAUCAAACUAGCAGCUAAACUCAAGAACUCGUGUCCAAAUGGGCUUCAAUCUUUGUAACAAAGGUUAAAUCAACAAGGGAAGGAGUUUUGAUAUACAUGGGAAUGUUCUUACAGUCGAAUGGAUGUGAGGUUCUCCCAAGAAAUGCUUGUCAUUUACUGGAGCAAAGCCCAGAAAUUUUGCUACCGAAAUUUCAGCACUAAUGAAUCCGGAACUUGGGGCUUCGAUUUGGCCUUCUUAGAGUUGUUUUCCUUAAAUGUUUUCUGCACAAAAGUUAUUCCAAUGCGUCUCAAGAUGAUGCACGAGUGAAGAAACUCUCCUAAAAGCUAGAUAUUUAAUCGAAAAUCCCCUCUGAGCAUGGCUGCUUCGUCAGCUUGAUAAUGGGUUUUGCAGAAAGAUUUUCUGCACUUUCUGUUUUCUCUUUUGCCUCUCUUUUUCGUUCUUUUGUUUUGCUGUUUUCCUUCCUAACCUUCCCCAGAUUUCCCCCUUUCCUCCCUUUCUCUUCUUUUUUCCUUUUUCUUCUCCUCUCUUCCAUUUCUCCUUCGUUGCUGAAACCCUCUUUUCCCGAAGUCCCUUUUUCUUCCUUUCUUUCUUGUUUUCCUUGUCCCGUAGCUUUUUCUCUUUCGUUCUUCCUCUCUCAGUUUUUCUCGCUUUCUUCCUCUCAAUCUCCCCUUGUUGCCCGUAACCUUUUUCUCUCCUUGUACUGCCCCCAAAACCCUCUCUUUUUCUUCUCUUUUUUUCUUUCUUUCCCUGCCCCCAAGUUCUCUCAUUAGCCGAACCCUUCUAGCCUUUUCUUUUUUUUUGUUUUAUUUCAGAUUUUUCCUAAACUCUACACUUGUCCUAGCCAUAGCCUUAAGUGUUGAGAUGUGCAAAAAAUAAGAACACUUGUCUAAUGCCUACCCAUCCCACUUAGUUAGUUUGCAUGGCCUCCACCUAUUUUAUUUUAUUUUUGUUAUUUUUUGUUUUUUCAAAACAAGUUUAGGGUAACCAAAAACAUUAAACACAUUACUAAUUUUUAUUUUAUUUUGAAACACUUGAAUUUAAAAAAAUUAAAACAAAUUUUUGAGAGAAUUUUCUUUUUUCAGAAAUUUAAUGCAAAAAAUGUUUUAAAAAGAAAAAUGAUGAACCUAAUUUACUAAAAUAAAUAAAAAUAAACACUAACUUAUCAUUUUACAAACUUAGGUAAUUAAAAUAAAAUAAAAUAAAAACAAGAAUAAAUAAUAAUAGUAAAAAUAAAGCUAAAAUUGAAUUAAAUAAAAUUAAAAUUAUGGUGUCUACACAUCUAAUGCUUGUUCUUUGGUAAGAACACACCUGGGAUAAAUAAGUAAGAUGUUGCGUUGAUGAAGAAGGAAGAAGGUGAUCUGAGCACGUUGAAUCUCACCCCAACCUGAUGACGUCAACCACCCCAAUACAAAUUAUCCCUCGUAUUGGGUAGAAUGGGUUGGCUUAUAUAGCCCUUCCUGAGUGUCAUUUAAUAUUACUAAAAACGCUCGGGACGACACGUGGUGGGUGGAUAGGGUGUCCGGAUGGACGGUCCGGAUUUGAUCUCAGGAGGAGAGAUAAAGGACAACCCAGGACCUGGAUUGUAUAGCCCGCAGUACGGGCCCUCCCUGUCCCCCACGUUCCGAACGUGGGCCGCCGUACUCUUUGUCACGUGGCCGAAGACUACUAGCGGCUCGGAAGAGCACAGUCCCACCAAGGUGAACAUUGAUAUUGGGUUGAGUAGAGAAUAGUGCCCGGUGGCACUGUUGGAAUUCGAAUUUCGAAUUCGAAAUUGAAAUUUUGAAUAAUCCCGCCCACGUCGGGAUUGCCAACACGUAUCCCCGAUUUGGUGGUCGCGAUGCGCGACAUGUGGCAGAAGGAGAGAACGAUAAAUAUCGCUGUGAUGGAAGACUUUGAGCGUUCCUUGCUGGAUACGCCCUGUUCGAGGAGAUUGCUUGAUAUGGUGCGUUUUGAAAAUCAGAAGAAAUUGCAAACAUAAGAGACAUGGCAGGAUUCUUCGCGGUGGUGAGGGGCUGUGGCAUGGAGCACGUAGUGCUCUUCGGGAUGUACUUCGCCCUUCGUUUGAGGAGCCUUUCACAGUGCGAAAAGCGCACUGUCCCCCAUCUCGGCGCUUUAGCACCGAGUGUUAGAAAUUGUUCACUGUUCACAAAUUUGAAUUUCGAAUCAAAGUACGAAAAUUACUGUAACAUGCUUGGAGAUGAGGAAAUAUACAGUCGAAGGGGGGAAAAACUAUUACUGAUUGACAUAAAGGUGAAAUAGUGAAUAAACGUGAUAUAAAUUGCAAUGUAUACCAGACAGGUCGUCUCAAUUCAUCCAGUAUGAAGAAAUGGCUGGUCGAGGUACGAAGACAUAUGUUGGUCCUGGUACUCCUCUCAAACCCAUCACUCGAAGGCGGAGGCUGUUCAGCAACACUGGUGGCAUUUCGAGUGCGGGGCCAAGUUUCGGAAGAAGAGCAAGGUUUUUCCUGCAAGGCAGGAAGCGGCCUUUUGUACAAAGUGGGAUCAUAGAUGAGACAUUCGAUCCUGAUGAAGGCGUGGCUUGCAAGGCCGUAUGGUAUGAUUACAUGAAACUCUCGGAACUAGGCCAGGGACCAGGGCAUAGAUAUGAAAACAAAUGCGGGGUUUCUUCUAUUAACAUUGACGAAAAUAUGCUGAUUGGCAGUGAUACUGCCUUGAUGGAUGACGGGCAUGGGGCCCACUGCGGUGGGCCCAUUAACGGCAUAUUGGGCCUAUUUAUUGUUCUGGACCGUGAGCCUAGCGACCAGCAUAAGCCCACCUUCUAGGACGUUUUCAGUGAGGUGACGUGAACUCACGGAUCCAAAGUGGAUCUUCACGUUCGCAAUGACAUGCUGAGCCGUUUUCGCGUGCUGAUGAGGGAGAAGAUCAUCGUGAAGGGGUGUAACAAUGGUAGUAGGAUAUCCAUUGAUCGAUACAUUGCAUUAUUCGAAAAGAAUAAAUUCGUCACUAAGUUUAAGAAUUACGGAAACUUGACUGAUGGUCGUUACAGUAAUGUAAAGGAGAAUGCUCGAUGUUAUACAUAUUAUGGAAGAGCCUGUGCGGUUAUCCUGUGGCUGUGAAUAUUAAUAGUUGGAUGACGAAUAAUCAUUAAUAAAAUAUAAAUUAUCGUUGAAUUGAAUGUUAUCGUUAAAAUAUGCAAGGAAAUUGUUCAAUUGAGCGAUAAUAAAAAAAUAACUAAGUUAAUUGUGCAAUUAAUUUAUCACACGAUGAGAAAUCCCAUAUUACACUAGCAAGCGCAGUGGAACAUAAGAAAAAAUAAUUGGGCCGAAUAACGACCCAAUGGGCUGCUUAGAUGGGCGGCUUGGCCCCGAACUUGAAACUAGGCUGAGGCUGGGCCUUGGUGGUCGACAUAACUGUUGAUAUUGAUUGAGCCACAACAUGGCCCAACUGCUCCGCAGAAAUAUUGCAACCCAUUUAGGAUGCCGAUGGGCUUGGGUCAGAUCGUGGAUCUGACCCAUCAUCAAGAUGGCUCAAUCCAAUAUCGGACAUUGAAUUUCGGACCUGAGCCAACAACGUCCCCGGUCUGAAUAAAAGUUAAUUGGUGAUAGGUCUGACUAAUGCGGAUAUGGAUCGACAAAAUGCAAGCUGCUUGAGAGCAUAGUUGCAGUGCCACAUGUCAACGUUUUCCUCGGUGAACUGAUCAGAGAAUAUCUGCACUCUCAGUGAUCGGAACUGGACCGUAUCUGGUACUUUAGCAUUGGCCAACUUCAUGUGUGCCUUUAUCUUGCAGAAAUUGAUUCAAGUCUUGAUGUUGGAAUCUUCGAGCUUGUAGUUUGCUACCCACGAACACUUGUCAUCGUUCAAUGAUGAAUACGAAGUGCCGUAAUAAUGGAGGAUGAUCGGACAGGUGACCGGAAAGACGUAUUCAGCCUGCAACUGAUCUUGCCCUUCGACUCUUGUGUCGAAGAUGAGCACCCGCACCUUGCCGAUGCUGUUAAUCGCAAUCUGGGGAGUAUAUCAGAUUUCGUAGUGAUCGAUUAGCAUGGAGAGUCUGCGCACCCUUUGGAGAAUUGUCGAUGAGAAUGCGGGGAACGGGAUUCUUAUAGUCUGAGCAUCUGAUAAUGCGCAUGCUUCGGUGAACUUUGAUUUGUAGUAACCGGCUAUGGGCUGAUCUGCUCAUAUCUCCAUUGAAAUGCUCACGUGUUCCUGCACUUGAUGAAAACGGAAUGAUGAGGGAGGAAGUGUUUGUGUUAGAUUGAUGAAACAGUGUCCCUUAUAUAGAACGAUGUCGUGUUGGGACUGUUGAUGAGCCAACGUAAAUGACAUCACCUAACCUAAUAGAAUGAUGUCACUCCAUCCAUUAAGGGGGUCCACUCAACCCAGUCUACCCAAUACAACAGAUACUUUAGAAUAGGUUGGGUGACGUCAUUCUAUUGGGUUGGGUGACGUCAUUUGGGUAGAGCUGGUAACUGUGUAUCAUCGUUUUCCUUCCACUCAAUCCACUGUUUUUCACCAAAAAAUACAAAACCCUUACUUUCCAAUCAUCUCAUCUUCAUCAAAACCAAAAGUACGAUCAAUAUUCAAUGAAAAUAUCAAGAUCUUUCAAAUUUCGAGUGAAUUUAUACAUACGAUGCAAGAAUUGUUCCUCAAAGGUGUUUCACAUUCUCAAUAUUCUAUGUAAUAGAGUAUCAAUCACAAUUGAUAAUUUAUCUGAUAGAAUGAAUGUUCUAUCAGAGAAUGACUCAUCAGAGGACAAUCGUAUCAAUUCUAGAUCCUUCGGACCUUAAGGUCCGAGAAGCUCUCAUUUGACAAAUUAAAGAACCUGUGUGCCGCUGCGCUUGUCGGGGAAGAUAAGUGAAUAGAAUUAGGAUUAUCAAUGUGUGGGCCACUUAUACUGAGGCCCAACAUAUUCAUCAUUUCUUGAUCAGAUGGGUCGAUCAAGUGUUAAUUGAGCCUCACAUCAGGCCCAAGUCGUUUUAAUCGAAAAUGUUAUCAACUUAUUGAUCCACUGGGCCAUUUAAUUUGUUACUGGGCCUCGUACCAGGCCCAGUAAAUAAUCUCCGAAUGUAUUAUCAGAUGUUUGAUUCAAUAGGUCAAUUCGAUCAACAGUUUGAGCAUCUGGUACUUAAGUGGUGGCCAACUUCAUGUGUGCCUUUGUCUUGCAGAAAUUGUUUCCAGUCUUGAUGUUGGAAUCUUCGAGCUUGUACUUUGCUACCCACGGACACUUGUCAUCGUUCAAUGAUGAAUACGAAGUGACGUAAUAAUGGAGGAUGGUCGGAUAGGUGACCGGAAAGACGUAUUCGGCCUGCAAUUGAUCUUGCCCUUCGACUCUUGUGUCGAAAAUGAGCACCCGCACCUUGCCGCCGGUGCUGUUAAUCAAAAUCUGGGGAGUAUAUUGAAGUUUACAGUGAUCGAUUAGCAUGGAGAGCCUGCGUACCCUUUGGAGAAUCGUCGAUGAGAAUGCAGGGAACGAGAUUCUUAUAGUCUGAGCAUAUGAUGAUGCGUGUGUUUUGGUGACCUUUGAUUUGUAGUAACUGGCUAUGGACUGAUCUGCUGGUAUCUCCAUUAAAAUGCUCACGUGUUCCUGCACUUGAUGAAGACGGGAUGAUGAGGAAUGAAGUGUUUGUGUUAGAUUGAUGAAACGGUGUCGCUUAUAUAGAACGAUGUCGUGUUGGGAUUGUUGAUGAGCCAACCUAAAUGACGUCACCCAACCCAAUAGAAUGACGUCACUCCACCCAUUAAAAAGUCUUUAUUGUAUUGGGUAGAUUGGGUUGAGUACACGUGACAGAUCGGACGGUCCGAGUGUCUUAUAAUAUUACAAAGACGCUAGGGGGGACACGUGGACGGUGGAUAGAGGGUCCACGUCAUCAUCCAAUGGAAGAAUGGACGGUUGAGAUCUACUCAACCCAAUACAAUGAACGGCUAUGAUAAGGUGCAUCAAUAGACGGUUGAGGUCGUAUUCAUUUUGGCCCCCAACUUUUGCAUAAUUCUACUGUGGCCCCAAAACUUCUGCAAAUGAACCAUUUUGAUCUCUUUCAAGUUUAAAAUCAUCUUUUUUAUAUUUUAAGUGGUCCUUUGGGUAGAUUAAUUCUGGAUUUUAGGAAAUAAUUAGGGUUAAAUGUCUUUUAGUUGAUUUUAUCUUGUUGGGUUUUGUAAGAAAGUUUAGUUUUUGGGUUGUGGUUUGUUUGUUAGGGUUUUGAUAGAAAAGCUUGGUUUAUUUGAUUGGAUUAUGGCUUGGGUUUGGGGGUUGAAGUCCAUGCAUUGUGAUUGGGACUGUUUGAUAAAAUUUAUGGGCUAGCCCGUCUCAUUUCACUUGGGCCUUUCAUUGGGCCAAGUGGCUUUUAGCCCAAGAAGAAGAAAAAUGGUCCAAGUCCAGACAUCUCAUGACGAAAUUUGUACUAUGCCCCUGCACUUUUAAGUAACUCCACUAUGGCCUUAAAAACUUUUGAUUUCUUUCAAUUAGGUUCCUAAUAUAAUUGUAAUUUGAUCCCUGAACUUUAUUUUUCUUUAAUUUUGACUCCUAAUCUUUGUAAUAAUUAUGAUUUGACCUCAAAAACUUUUUCAAUUUUUACAAUUAGGUCCCUCAUAGUUUUGAUUUCUUAAAUACAAGUUGCUUUCUUCUUUAAUUAUUAAUUAUACUUCAUUUAAGUGAUUUAAUUGGUAGAUUCCAUGAUUAUUUCCAUUUCUUUAUAAUUAAAUUAGUUCCUUGAUCAUUUUGUUGAUUUUGGAACAUAAGCAGAGCAAAUAUCACCCCAUUCAAUCACAACUUAAAGGGAGGUAACCUCUUUUAUCAUUUUAAAUUCUUUUAUGCGUUCCAAUAUGUUUUUAUAUGUAAUUGCAUGUUUAGAGUGUUUUUUCUUUUAAUUAUUCAUUUUACUCAUUUUAAGUUUCAUUUAUUUUAUUUAAUUUUUUAUGAUUAUUUGAGAGGCAUUAAAAUGCCAAAUUGUAAUAGAUAAGUGCUCAAAACAUGUAUUUAGCUAGUUUAUGUAAUAGAUAUGUUUAAAUUUUUGCUAAACAUGUAUUUAGUUAGAUAAAUGUUAUAGAUUGUAAUUAGGGCCCCGAAUAUAAUAGUUAGAUUUUAUUUGCUUGUGUAUUUACAUGCUUGCAUGUUUACGUGUUUAUUCGCUUUUAUUAGGGUUUUGCAUUUAGAUAUUAUACUUAUAUGUUAUGUGCACUAUGUGCUUUAUGUGUUUACCUUCUUUAAUUAUGUUUAUAUGAUUUAUUUAGUUAUAUUAAAUGCAUGACGUCACCAUGCUAGUCCAACGCUAGUUGUGACAUUUCCCCCCGAUUUCUCACUAGUCCAACGCUAGUGAAGACUUGUAAAAAUGGAAUAGUCCAAUGCUAGACCCUUUAGGCCAUUUUUCGCGCUAGAUUCACAUUUUUUGUGUGACAUUCAUCGCAUUUCAUACAUAUUUUACAUCUUUAGGAUAUUUUCUCAUCUUGUAUGAUAUUUUCUCUAUAUAUUAUCUCCCCUAUCCUUAAGUGCGCAAAACACGACAUUUAGACUCGCAUUCUAUUUAGGAAAAAUAGAAGUAGGUUCGUUCAUUGCUUGAUUAAGUUAAGAGAGUUACCCUUCAAAUAUGAAAAAUGGACGAGUAUGGCUUUUUAGGUUUAGUACGUUCGUAUCUCCUCUAUAAAAAGGAAAAAUUGAGUCACGAAUCUUAGCCCCCGUCCCGUUAUGGUGUAUUCCUUUCUUUUAGCUCAUGUAUAUUUAUAUAUUAUAAUUCUUUUUUUCUUUGAGUCUCAUUUUACAUAUUUGUGACAUCUUCUAAGAAUUAUUUUUGGACAUCACAAUUAAUGUGAUUAGCACCAAUUAAACUCUGAAGAAAUAUUUCGACUCUCCCGAUAUCCAUUAGGUCUAGAUUUGCAUCCAUAUAGUAACAUCCAAAUAUGAUAAGUUUUAUAGGUUAGAUAAAGAAAAUUUUCAACUAAAUCUCGCAACUAGUCUUAGUUAGAUUGAAAGGGUGCCUUAGGUUUGAUUAUAUCAAAUCUUUGUCUUUCCUUUUUUCAACUGUGACUCCCGAACUCUUUUCUCUUGUUUUCAAAGACCUGAAGUCGUCUAAAAAGGGUUUUACCUAUUUUUAUUAUUUAUUAUUAUUAAUAAAUUUUUAGGUGAUUUGGUACACCUUAACUUAAUACCAAGUGGUGACUCUUAUUUUUUUCUAAAACCCUUUUUAGACUAUUAUUUGGGCCCAAAUCGUCGCACUUUUUAAGUCCCAUUUUAGGCCAUUUUCUUUUGUUUAUUCUCUAAAAUAAAAACUCUUUUUCUAAAUCAAAAAUUCAUUUUUCUAACACCUUAAAUACUCUUAGAUUUAUUUCAUUUUUUUUCCAAAAAAAUGGGGCGCGACAACUAGGAUACAGUCUCACGCAAGGUGCAUGACUAGAGUUAGUGACAGGGUUGGUUUAGGGUGGGAGAGCCCUUUCUCGCCUUCGCCCAUCACCAAAAAGCUCUUCUCAUCCCCUACCACAUCCCCGAUAUCUUUAACUUCGCCUCAUCUUUCACCCUCCACCCCAUCUCAUUACUAUUUUCAUUUCCAUGUGAUUUUCUUUUUAUAUAUUUAUAACACUAAUAAUAGAUUUACUAAUCAUUUUUUUUAUUUUUUAGCAAAAAUUUAACAUGAGAUAAAGUUUAAAAUUUAAUUUGACCUUGUGAAUCCAUUUCUCUAUAUUUAAUAUUACAUAAAUUCUAAAUCAAUUAUCAUUAUUAUUUUAUAAACAACAUGCCGUAACAAAAAAAUGUAAACUAACAUAAGAAAAAUUUUACCACAAAAAAUUAUAUUAUAUUAUCACUCGAAAAAAAUCACAUUAUUCAAUACAUAUAUAUAUAAUCAGGAUAACUUUUUUAUACACUGUCAGUGUAUUUUUUUUUACACUAACAGGUUAGAUUAUUCCACAUAACAUAAAUUCAACAUUUAAAUUUAAAUCAUGCCUAUAUGGCAUACAUUCAAAACUGCUAGUGUAAAAAAUUCACUACACUAUCAGUGCAUAAAAAGUUAAUUCAUAUAAUUAUAUUAUAUUAUGCAUAUUAUAUUAUAUAUAUAAUAUGGGUUGGGGAUUGGACGGGGGUAUCUUUCCCUGCCUUUUGCCGAGUUUAAUACGGGAGGAGAAAAUCUCCCCCACUCGCAUUUUUCCUUGCCUUAUUGAACCCUUGUGGGUAUUUUGCCCUUAUUGCCAUCCCUCAGAACGAAUAGGGAGUUCAUGAUGUAUUUCUAACUCAAUAAUAGGUUCAAACAUUAGCCAAUAAUUUAGCUCAUACCAUAUUUACAAAGGGCUAAUUAUACUAUGCUCCCUUAAACUUGGCUCUAGUUACACUUUGUCCCCCUAAACUUCAAAUAUAUAUAUAUAUAUAUAUAUUUUCUCCUUAUAGUGAACUUCUUGACGGGGUUUGUGAGAACCUAGAAAUUUGCUAAUUUAUCUAGUUUAACUACAUGAUACUUUAUUUAUUAAGUUAUCUAUUUGGUUAUUUAUUGAUUUGAUGAUGAUUUUUUCUUAAUACUUUUAUUAAAUUUUACAUGUGAAAGUUAAUGUGUGGGGUAAAAUGAAAAUUUCCUUUGUAGUAGGGUGUAAAAAUGAACUUUUGGAAAAAAAAUGAGGACUUUAGUGCAAUAAGAGAGAGAAUUGGGACACUUGGAGUUAGAGAGCUCUAGAAGGUAACAAGUGUUGGAACACUUGGAGCUAAAGAACUUUAGAAGAUGACAAGUGUCACCAUAGGAACCAAGUGAGACCUUUGACCAAGCUUUCUUAUCAUUUAAUCUUUCCUUUCUUGCCUUAAAAAUAAUAAUAAUAAAACAACCAAAAUCAAGAGGAAAGGAGAGAGAGAGGGCCGAGAGCUAGAAAAAGAAAAGAAAAGAAAAACUCAACUUUCUUCCUCCAUUUUUGCUUCAAAUCUUCCCCAACUUUGGUUAAUUCUUGGAAUCUUGCUUGGGUUUGAAAGAAAGUCUUGCUUGGGGGCAACUCUUGGAGGAAACUUGGACUUGUUGCUUGGUUCAAAUUGCUAGGAGAGGUAUUGGCUUGAAAUCCUCUUUUUCCUUCAAGUUUCGAGUAGAUUUGUAGCUAGAAAAAUUGAAUCUUUGAUGGGUUUCCUUGAAACCUUGAUUUAGGUAGAUGAUUUGAGGAAAAUUCCUUAUAUUUUCAUGGCAAGCUAGGUAGAUGACUUUGUGAGGACUCGUAAAAGUAUUAUUUUCGACUCCUAUCUUUGCUCAUUUAAAUAUUUAUUCAAAUAUUUGCUUCGAUUAUUAUUUUCUAGCCUUAUUAGACUUAAAUACAUGGAGUUAUGACUUCAUUAUAUUUUUAAAGUGACUCAUUUCAAAAAUUAAUUUUUGGGAAGCUCGAUUAAUGAAAAUAGUGAAAACGUGUCUGAAAACUUUAGCCAUUUGGGAGUACAAUAAGUUCAAAACUUGGAGACAUGUACAAUGGUCCUAAAAUAGGUAAUUAUAGGUUUAAGUACUCAAGUGAUAGUUAGUAGUACGAUCGUUACAAGAAUUUCUCGAAGGUUUCACUCUAUCGCGCCUAAAUUGGAAAUACGCGUUUUCACGCGCGCGAUUAAUUGAGGGACUUUAGAUCCUUAAUUUGGGAUAACUAGGAGUGAAUAAUAUUUAUAUGAAUAUAAGUGCAUUAAAGGUUUAGUGCACUAGUGCAACAAACUUAAGAGGAAUCGCGCCCAAAACGCGCGCGUACGCGCACUAUUUGCGUUUGACUUUUUUCGUACCCAAGCUCUUAGCCCUCAAGCUUCCUUAGCAAGCUAAAAUCAGAUCAAAACAUCUCUCUUUUCCCUCUCAUUCUGGCUGAGCAACAGCUGAAGCAAAACACCUUCAAGUUUUGCAAAUUUCACCUCCAAAUCUUGCUCAAACCUUCAUAGAUUCACACCAAACUUCACAUACACUUAGCUCUACACUUGGACACCACUUUGAGCUGCAAAAGGGAGCUAAAACUCACUGUUUUUCUGGAGCAAAAAGGACCGAAAAUCACUGCCUUGGACAUCAACUAGAGUAAGUAAUGAUCAAGCUUUCAAAUUUCGAUUUUUGGAAGUUCUAGUAUACCUUUAAGCUCUUAGUUUCAUAUGGGUUGUUGUUGUUGUCGGAAAAAUUGGAAGGUGGGCUCUAUGAACUCCCACCUCUGUGUUGAUGGCUGAUUUCAUGCUUGAUGAUGUUUAUAAUGUUGGAUUAGUGCAUAAACUAGUGGAUUAUUGGUGGAAAAUUGAUGGAAACUCAUGAUGGGUGCAAAGGCCAAAUCUGACCAUUUUGCCCCUGCUUUGUUCGGCCACUUUAAUGCAAAAAUUUGAGGAUUUAAUGGCUUGAUUGUAUUGUUUACAUGUUGUAGUAGUUGUAUAAAAAUUUUCAUUGUAAAAUAUUGAGUUUUGGUUGGUCAAAUGAAUUUAUUUCCCAAAGCUAGUAAUCCGGAAACUGUUCCCGUAAUGUUCAGACCAGUGUUCGUAUUUCGUCCAUAACUCUGUGCUCCGAUGUCAAAAUCAAGUGUCGUCAGUGGCAUUUGAAACUAGAUAUUUCCACCUUUCCAACGGUAUAAAAUACACUUUCUGGUUCCAUGUGUGUGAGCCGCACCACUCUUUUGAACUCAGCUGUUCUGUUUCUCUGUUCUGCUGGAAUGAAAUACAGAAGCUGUGAUUUGAAACUCGAUUUCGAGCUAGUUGUGUACUGAAUUUUAAAAUGAUUUCUUCUGAGAAAUUAUAGCCCUAUGAAUGUAUUUUCCAACACUAUCAACCAUGCUCAAUUCCGAGUUAAAUUGAGUGAGUCAUGAUCAAAAUACGGUGACUGCCCUGUUCUUGAAAACCCUUGGAUUUGGACAGAUUUGAUGUGAGACUUGUUGUGGUCUUACUAAAUGAAUUUCUUGGUACUAAACACCUACCAAAUGUACCAUGUAUAUUCCUUAGACUUUUCUUGCACAAAUGAACCAUGUUUGGAGGUUUUCCUUAGCCGAAUGUUUGGAAACGGAGAGGAAUGGAGCUAAAGGCAGUUUUACCUUAGUAAUUUCAAAACUUUGGUUGAUUGAUUAACCACCUUCCGGAAGGUAUUUUUCCACGAAAUUUGAUAGAGAGAUACCCUUCAUAUAGGAGUACUAUACUGAAAAAUUUGGCACCAAUCCAAGUCCGUUUCGACACUUAACUAAAGGUCCAAAGUCAGAAACCCAAAUCUGGAAAUUGUUCGACAGUCUUGAAUUUUCCCCAACUUUGAACUACCAUAUAUUGGUGCUUGAAACUCCGAUUCUCGAUCCGCUUGUUCUGUCCUAAACCUUACUUGUACGUCUAAUUGUGUUAUAAAUUUUAAUGGUUGGUUUGCAACGAGUGAAUUCUGCCGAAUUUCCAAAGUUAGCGAAAAACUAACCCCAGCUCAAUCCUGAACAUUCUGGAACAGUGAUUUCAAGCUCAUUUUUGAGUACUUUUCACUUUGAUUCGUGGAAAAGUGUCUUCUAAGAACUUUUAGUACUUUCCAAGAGGUUUCCAACGGUAUAAAUUUUUCCAAUUUUAGACUUGUAUCGAAUGAGAUACGAUUUUUCAAAAAUCCAUAUCAAAAAUGAAAUUUUCCAACUUACAAGGAAAUAGAAUUUUCCAAGAACUCUUUAUUCUUUCGACAUUAUGCAAACGUUUUAACCUCGAUUUCCAAGAUAAAAACCCAAAUGCUCCUGUACUUUAUGAAACGCCACCCGAACCUCGAUUUACAAGUAAUUAAGGUUCCUUUUCACAAAAUUCCCUUGAUUACAAUAGGGCACGAAUUAUUUCUCGAUAAUAGGGCACGAAUUAUUUCUCGAUAAUUGGGUUGGGUGAAUAAUAAUUCACUAUUAUUUGCUCAGGCGCACACGAGGACCUUCAAGAGGAUCCCACGGUGGACGCUUGAACUUUCCUUGACCCUACUUGCACUUAAUACUUGGUGAGUGUCAAGUGUAUGAGUACUUAAUACGUGCUUAACUGUUGUGAAUGAUUACUGAUUUUAGGAAUGGAGAUGAGUGUGUACUUUAUCUCACUCGUUUUCAUUUGAAUAAAUAAUAUUGAAUGAUAUUGAAUGAGAUUGAAUGCAAUGGUUGCGUACGUCGCUGGAGUGAAUUUCCUCGACACACAAUUGUAAAUGGGGGACGCCCAAACUCAUAGGCUGACCUGGGACUCGAGCCGGCAUGGGUUUGGUCGGGAACCUAGGCGUGCCAUGAGACAAAUAAGCUCGACCUAUUGAGAGGUCUUACUUGGCAUACUCGUGGAGUAUUGCCUCAUACAUGUCUUGCGGGCCCGAGUGGGUGUUGGGUGGACGGAAAGAAGUAAGUGGUGAUCUACGGAUUGGAAAUACCGACCCAGUUGACGGAGUGUCAUCGGGGGAAGGUAUACGAGUGACAUCGGCAAAGCGAGUGGAACUUAGCUCCUGAGAACUACUAUAUCCUUGAAUUGUUUCUGAUAAAUUUCCUUUGGUGAAUUGUCAAUUAUUGAAAUAUAUUAUUGUUUAGCUCGUAAUUGAGAUUGUUAUUUGAACUACGUGCUUGCAUGUGUGUUCUUGGCCUCACGAGCGUUUUGCUCACCCUAUAGAUUUGUUUUCCUUAACAGGAUUGAAUCUCGGGGAAGUGUGGAGAAACCCUCCUGAUGUACUUUUGUUUUAGGGUUUCUAUUAUAUUUUGGCUAUGCCCUUGGUUUUGGAUUGUACUUUUGGAAUUGAAAUGUAAUUUUUGGGGCGUAAUGUAUAUUUGGGAUUCAUGAUGUAUUUUGAAUACCCGACGUGCGGGUUGGAUAAUGGAUGACUAUUGAUAAGCUUGAACGCUUCCGCAUUUACUGUACUUAAGUUACUUACUUUUGUUGUGUAGUUCGAUAAUUAGCUUGAAUGAUUUGGCUUGAGUCUUGGCGAGAGCUAGGCAGGCGUCCCGCGGAUACCCUUUGGUUCGCCUUAGGGAGAAGUGGGGCGUCACAGACUUGAGGUUCAUUCUUGUGCUUUUAUGAUGAAUGUUUAUUGUAGAUUUUGGUGUUUUAAAGUUUGAUGUUGUGGCUUGUGUGUAUAUUUCUUGGAAAGCUUGAAUCUUGGUUGGAUUUUGUUGCAAAUUUUGGUGAAAAAAAUUCUGUUUUGAAAGCUUUUUGAUGGUUGAAACUUUUGACUGCUAUUAGCCCUUAUUUUCAAGAAAUUUUGGGGGAAAUCUUGCUCCACAAACUAUGUUGGACAUUAAACUUUGAUUGUGAGUUGGAUUUGAACCAAAAUCAUGAGUCUUAGUGGGAAGGUUGAGUCAAGUGUUGCUGAAAAUUUUGUUCAGCAGGAGACUCUGAAUAGUUUUGGAAAAUCCGUUAUAUUUUCGUGUAGAAAAAUCCAAAUUAGAUUCCGCUUGUUGCGUUUGAAACUAGAUUCAGAGUGAAUUCUACGAUGAAAAUUUCAGAAUUUUUCUCAAUUCCUAUGAAUAUCUAUGAUUUUUCAAAAUUGACUAAAUUUUCACACCUGCUCUAUUUUUCUACUUGAUGAAGCAGCAACUUGAGACUAGAAUUUGACUGAUUUAUGGAUAGAAUCUUACAAAUAUGUAUUCUGGAAAAUUAUAGUCCUUUGAGUCGAUUUUCCAAUAGUAUAAAUUUUAUAAAUUUUAAACUUAAGAAGCUUGCGAUACGAUUUUUCAAACAGCGUCGCGCAAAACUGGAGAAAAUUUUGUUUUCUAAACUUGUUCUUGCUUCCAUUUUCAACUUUAAGUUAGAGUUGUUAAACCAUUUUAAGUUUGGUUUUUAUGAGUGGAAUUGAGGUUUAAAUGAAAGGAAAUGAGUUUCUUCAAAUCAUUUUAAGUCGGAUAAUUUCCAACUUUGUAUUUUGAAAGUCUUGUUCUAAUUUCUUCAAACGUUUGACUAUAAUCGAUGCUCUUGUGCUCCAAAUGAUUUUUGCAACGUUGAUUUAGUAAGCACAUGAGGUUUUCUCCUCGAUUGCAACAAGAAAAUAUUAUAUUUUGAUAGGUUAUAUGGGUAUAAAACUUAUAAAUUGAUGCAUUUUCUAAAUGAAGUUUUGAAAUCUCAAUUUCUUCAUGUAUUUUGACUUUGUAUUGCUAGUUUUUUAAUAUAGUAUGUGACCAUAGGACUUAAGAGAGUUCAGGAGGACGAAUCAGGAUUAAAGUGAAGGGUUGCAAUUGAUUGGUGAGUGUUCCAAUGCAUGUUAUUUGAUUAUGCAUGACUUGUGAAAAUGCUAUUAUUUGCUUAAGAGCUCUCCUUUGAAUGACAUGCGAAUAAGUAAAUGACUAUUAUGAUUUUCUUGUCUUGUUAAUUUGCUAUAAGCGCAUGUUCACAUUGCAUGGAUGCGUGAUAAAUGUGCAAGAAUGUAGGCCGAUGUGUACUUUAUCGCAUCAGCUGAACUAAGCUUAAUCCUAUGCUGGCAUCCUAUACGAGACUCGCCAUUUGUGAGGUCGAAUCAGCUGGACAGCUUUGGGUUCAUAACUUACCAAUGUUAAGUGCAAAACUCAAAACUCUUUGCCGAAAAGCCUUGAGUACAAUGUUAAAUGUUUAAUGUUAAAUGAGGGGAUUGUUGAUUUUUCGGAGGGCAUAAGGUGAAUGUUAAAUGAGGGGAUUGUUGAUCUUUCGGAGGACAUAAGAUGGGAGUUCGGAGGUUAUAAGGUUGUAAAAUGUAGGGGAUUGUUUAUUGGCAGUUAUAAGGUGAAUGUUGCUUCCUGUGAGCCCCGUAUCCUUUUAAUGUUUAAAUUACUAUUUAUCCUUGUAUUUACUUGAACGAAUGAUUGAAUGCAUGCAUGAAUGUUAUUGUUUAUCAAGUAUUUUACAUUGAAAGAUUCCUAUUACAAUUAAUUACUUCACUACCAGUUUCUAAAGUUGAGUAUUGAUUUACUUGAACCUAUUACUUGGGAAAACAUGCUUACAUGUUAAAUUGUGUUAUUCUCUUAUUUUGCCUGUUUACCUGCAAUGCUCACUGGGCGUAAGCUCAUCCCACGUUUUGUUUUUCUUGACAGGAUUCGGAUCCGAGAGUGCUUAAGAAUACUAUUGAAAUGUUUUGGGAGACUUUAAGUUUUCAUUUUAGUAGAAAUGACAAUAGUGUAUAUAUUUUUGGGUUGUAAUUAAGAUAGACGCUGAAAGAUGAAUCUUUUGUACGUGAACCUAUGUAUUAGCUCUUGGAUGUAUGUAAAUGUUAUUUUGGGGUGUAAUGAAUAUUAUUUUGGUUAGUUUAGAAAUUUCAAAUAAUUCUUGCUGUGGAUUGUAGUGAGUCCUGGUGAGAGUUUGGCAGGCUGUCUGCUGAACCCUCUGGUUCACCUGAGGGGAAGAUGGAGCUGUCACAGGGUUAAGAUGAUAUUAUAUUUUGCAUCACCAGAAUACCCAGAGCUAAUUCUUGAUACAAUAAUUGUAGCCUAAUAAAUGACUAUUGUUUCAACAAUUGCUAAAUUUAUUUGAGCACGACAAUACCAUGUAUUCGAUCUUUUAGCAAUAAAAAAAAAGCUAGAAUAUCUACAAAAAAUGUCUAAACAACUCAAAGCGUUCAUCUCAACAUUAAUAGUGCUUAUUUAGAUGAAGUAAAAUUAAUGAUUGCAUUUGGAAUGAAGAUUAUUUGAGGAUUUUUUUUAUUUGAAUGCUUUUCUUCAUGUGAUUAUUGUGGAAUGAAAUGGUGAUUGGAAAAAAUAAAAAUAUAGUGAAAAACGCAUUUAAACAAUCUCAAAUUUUUUACCGAAUAAUGUAGAACCUAAACAAAAUAUAAAGCGAGGUAUAAAUGUGGCAUAAAAACACCAAUUCAUAUCUUAUUAACUCAUAAGAAUACUGUGAGAAUGUAAGGUAACCAAAGAUUAUCAAAGCCAAUUCAUUCAUAGUUUAAAGGAAGAAAGAGAAGCAACAGAAAACUACUAUAAAAGUUUUGGGGAUUUCUCUAAAAUUCGUUAACUCUGCAACACAAAAUUGUACUUGUUAACUAUUUGAUAUUUCGCCAUUUCUUUUUUCUUUUUUAUAUCAUGGGAUUCAAUGUUUUUUUCGAAUAAAGUGCUCUACAUUUCAACUUUACGUACAACAUCAUCCAACAACCACUAUGUAUGGACAUUAAUGUUAUUUUAUUAAAAAUUUGGAUAGAAAGUUCAUUAUUAACGUUUCACUAGUCGAUGUAGGGAGCCAAAUAAAUAUAUUUGAAGUUAAAAAGGCAAAGCAUUCAAAGGAGUCAAGUUUAGGGGGUAAACUCCAAUUAACUCUAUUUACAAUUAAUAGGCUUAGUAAUGGCUGCAUUUGUAAGAUAGGCCGAGAAGAUCAUAGAAUGAGAAAUGAAUUAAAAGAUGUUGGGUGAGGUCCUAAAAUUUUUUUGGAAGGCACUGCAACCCUGAAUCUCACUUGUAAAAAGUAGCUUAAAUCAGUGUACUUAUAGGUUUGUUUGUGACAGGUAGUAAGUACAUGUGAUGGUUCAUAUGACUGAUUGUUUGUAGGCAUUAUAUAUUGCUCAAAUUAAUAUACAAAUGGCUAAACCACAAAAAAUUUUCCUUGGUCAAAACAAUUUUAUACUUAAAGAUAAGAAAUCUCCAUAAUCCUUACAACUGAGAAGUCCACUUGCAUAUUUGAAGACAAGAACUUAAUUACAAUCACGAGCUUAAUUACGGUAAUUUAUCAAAGAAAUGAAAAGGCAUAUAAAGAUAAGAAAAAGGCAAUAAAACAAAUACUGCAUCUUGGCUUUUUUUCCUUUUUUGUAAGCAUUUUUGCCCUGACCUGGUUGGUGCUUUUGUAAUUUUUUGGGCUAUUUAUUUUUGUUUUCCGUGAUUUUAUGACUUGGGAAAGUGGUAAAAAAUUUGAAUUGACGACUUUGCCUACUUAAAUUGGUCAGUAAAAUGUUGAAGGAUCAAAUUGGCCCAGUAACAUCAGUUAAGGGACGACAUUAUUUCGAAUUAUAGUGGAGAGACCAAAUUGGCCUAAUAAUAAAAGUUAAGGGACUAUAAAAUUAAAGUUGGAGAACCAAAUAUGGUUUAGUAAAAAUUUUGGAAGAUUGUUCAGGUCAUUUGCCCAAAAAUAUUUCUCUUCUUAUUAAUACCCAAAGAAAUAAUUUAUCUAUUUAUUGAUAAACAAACCAAGUGCAAUGCAUAUGCUCCCAAACUAGUAAAACAAGUAUAUAUAAAAAAAAAAGUACACAAAGAUAGAGGCAAAUAUUUAUUGCCGAACAAAAUUUUGAAAAGCACUUUGAUUUAGGUGCUAGUAUAAGCAUGUUCACUUCCAAGUCUUCAGCACAUUGCCCUUUGAUCAUGGGAUUUGCAGAAAGGAGGAAAUCAAAUAAAGUUAUAGCAAAUUUUGGAAAUGUUGAUUUGCGAAGUCCAUCAUCUCUUUAAAAAGGAAAAUAAUGGAGUAUACCCAAAAAAUAUAAAAUGAAAAAAUUGAAUAAUGGAGCAGAUGGGGAUGCAGCUGAGUUGAGAACUUUUGAUAGGUGGAGACUUGUUUUUCCGCUGUCAAAACGAUAACUAGGUCCCUAAAAGUCUUCGGUUUUCAUUGUUGCACUAACUCCGUCCCCCCUCUUUUGUGCCAACUUGCCAACUUGUAUGAACUUUGGGAGUUUUACUUGUUACACAUAUUUUGACAUUUUUUAAAGUAUAAAAUUCUUAUAUAAUGUAAUUCUUGGUGAAAACUUUACUAUGAUUUAGCUACAUAUUUUUGAAAAAACUGAAUAAAUUCAAAUAAAUUGUUUAGUACAAAUUAUAUUAGUUUGAUCAGAAUAUGCGACAAAUGUGUACUAGAGAGACAGAAUAGAUGGAACAAAUAUCUAUUAGCACACACCUCCAUAGCUAUAUCAAACUCAGAGCCAGAAGCAGGAAGAAAGCUACAUGUGUUUUCCGAAGAUGUCUCUUUUAUUACUAAUGUUUCUCUCUUUUUUGGCUGUUCUGGGGGGAAGUUGGUUGAAGAUAUUACUAACAAUUGUUGAGGGCACAAUACACAAGAGAAAUAAAGAAUCAAAGAGACCUGAGUAAUAAAUAUAAAUAUCAAUUCUUUUAUUACUAACAAUUGUUGAGUGCACAGUACACAAGAAAAUCAAAGAAACACCCGAGUAAUAAAUAUAAAUAUCAAUCUCACAAGAAGGCCAUGCAUCCUCUAUACAAGUAAUAAAUUAUAAUGAACAACACUAAAACCCCCUCCAUUCUCACUGACUAAUCUCACUAUGUCCAAAUAAAUAAACAUUUGAGGCUAGCCACUUUUCCACUUUGAAGGCGCUAGGAUGAUGAUUAUGUGUAAGAGGGCCACCAGAGAAGUAGAAGCAAACUGGUCCAUGUCUGAAAGUUUUGUGCCUAUGCAUUUCAUGAUGAAGACCUUAUUGAGGAAUGUAAUGUCCUUCAACGAUUGACGUCUGUAUCUUCUUCUCAAGAAGCCUUCCUUUAUUCUUUGGUUCAAAUGGAAAUCUGCAAGAUGAAGAAAGAGUUAAGAGGCUUGUGUAUAUGGAUGUUAAGUUUAUGAUUUGUUUUUGCCAAGGAAUAAAAUGAAUGAUCAGUUGAAUAGUAAUGAACUUACUUUCUUGAACGUGGAAAGUGGCGGAGCUGUUGGACCUCAGUAGUGAGUUGGGGGUGGGGGAGAAGCAUAAGUGUAGACUGGUGGAGGAGGUGAUUUUUCGGGUGGGGGAGGUGAGAUGUAGUGGUAUGGAGGAGGUGGAGAUGGUGAAGGGGGAGGAGGGGAUGUGUAGACAUAGGGUGGUGGGGGUGAUUUCUCCGGCGGUGGUGGGGACUUGUAGUAGUAAGGUGGUGGAGGAGAUGGCGAUGGUGGUGGUGGGGACUUGUAGUAGUAAGGAGGGAGUGGUGAUGGAGAUGGUGGUGGGGGAGAUUUGUAGUAGUAGGGAUGAGGGGAUGGAGAUGGUGGUGGGGGAGAUUUGUAGUAGUAGGGAUGAGGGGAUGGAGAUGGUGGUGGGGGAGAUUUGUAGUAGUAGGGAUGAGGGGAUGGAGAUGGUGGUGGUGGGGAGACGUAAUGAUAAGGUGGUGGUGGAGAUUUCUCCGGCGGUGGUGGGGAGAUGUACUGAUAAGGUGGUGGUGGGGAUUUCUCCGGAGGUGGUGGGGAGAUGUAGUGAUAAGGUGGUGGUGGGGAUUUUUCCGGUGGUGGUGGGGAGAUGUACUGAUAAGGUGGUGGUGGAGAUUUUUCCGGUGGUGGUGGGGAGAUGUACUGAUAAGGUGGUGGUGGAGAUUUUUCCGGUGGUGGUGGGGAGACGUAAUAAUACGGCUUUGGUGGAGGUUUCACCGGUGGUGGCGGUGACUUGUAUAGGUAAGUUGGUGGUGGAGGUGGUGGUGAUUUAUAGACAUAAGUUGGUGGUGGUGGGGAGACGUAAUAAUACGGCUUUGGUGGAGGUUUCACUGGUGGUGGCGGUGACUUGUAUAGGUAAGUUGGUGGUGGAGGUGGUGGUGAUUUAUAGACAUAAGUUGGUGGUGGUGGGGAGACGUAAUAAUACGGCUUUGGCGGAGGUUUCACCGGUGGUGGCGGUGACUUGUAUAGGUAAGUUGGUGGUGGAGGUGGUGGUGAUUUAUAGACAUAAGUUGGUGGUGGUGGGGAGACGUAAUAAUACGGCUUUGGUGGAGGUUUCACCGGUGGUGGCGGUGACUUGUAUAGGUAAGUUGGUGGUGGAGGUGGUGGUGAUUUAUAGACAUAAGUUGGUGGCGGAGGAGAUAUGUAGUGGUAAGGAGCAGGAGUUGGCUUGGGCUUCUCACAUUCCUCAUAAGGAGUCUUGGGAGCAUAAGCAAAUGGUUUUGCGUAGAGCACGACUUCAUAGUCAGUCUUGGACUUGACUCUGAGUUCAG